RNAcentral lists this ribosomal RNA (196 nucleotides) under uncultured Vibrio sp. RNAcentral describes it as "partial 16S ribosomal RNA". It matches the Rfam family "Bacterial small subunit ribosomal RNA", at positions 335 to 523 of the family's 1533-position model. The record is from RNAcentral. Lineage: Bacteria; Pseudomonadati; Pseudomonadota; Gammaproteobacteria; Vibrionales; Vibrionaceae.
ACUCCUACGGGAGGCAGCAGUGGGGAAUAUUGCACAAUGGGCGCAAGCCUGAUGCAGCCAUGCCGCGUGUAUGAAGAAGGCCUUCGGGUUGUAAAGUACUUUCAGCAGUGAGGAAGGCAGGUACGUUAAUAGCGUGCUUGUUUGACGUUAGCUGCAGAAGAAGCACCGGCUAACUCCGUGCCAGCAGCCGCGGUAA